Molecule: ribosomal RNA, 421 nt
Filed under: uncultured bacterium
Lineage: Bacteria
Description: bacterial SSU rRNA
Rfam family: Bacterial small subunit ribosomal RNA
Source: RNAcentral
GUUUGAUCCUGGCUCAGAGCGAACGUUAGCGGCAGGCUUAACACAUGCAAGUCGAGCGAGAAAGGGGCUUCGGCUCCGAGUAAAGCGGCGGACGGGUGCGUAACACGUGGAUAAUCUGCCUCGUGGCGGGGGACAACAGUCCGAAAGGACUGCUAAUACCGCAUGUCAGGUCGGAAACUCCGGUUUCUGACGAAAAAGAGGGCACCCGCAAGGGGCUCUCACCACGAGAUGAGUCCGCGUCCCAUCAGCUAGUUGGCGGUGUAAUAGACCACCAAGGCUUAGACGGGUAGCUGGUCUGAGAGGAUGUACCAGCCACACUGGGACUGAGACACGGCCCAGACUCCUACGGGAGGCAGCAGUGGGGAAUAUUGGACAAUGGGCGAAAGCCUGAUCCAGCCAUGCCGCGUGAGUGAUGAAGGCC